RNAcentral lists this ribosomal RNA (439 nucleotides) under uncultured bacterium. RNAcentral describes it as "partial 16S ribosomal RNA". It matches the Rfam family "Bacterial small subunit ribosomal RNA", at positions 339 to 795 of the family's 1533-position model. The record is from RNAcentral.
CUACGGGCUGCUGCAGUGGGGAAUAUUGCACAAUGGGGGAAACCCUGAUGCAGCAACGCCGCGUGGAGGAUGACGCAUUUCGGUGUGUAAACUCCUUUUAUAUCCCAAGAUAAUGACGGUAGGAUAUGAAUAAGCACCGGCUAACUCCGUGCCAGCAGCCGCGGUAAUACGGAGGGUGCAAGCGUUACUCGGAAUCACUGGGCGUAAAGGGCGCGUAGGCGGGUUGUCAAGUCUUGAGUGAAAUCCAACGGCUCAACCGUUGAACUGCUUGAGAAACUGGCAGCCUAGAGUGAGGGAGAGGUAGAUGGAAUUGGUGGUGUAGGGGUAAAAUCCGUAGAGAUCACCAGGAAUACCCAUUGCGAAGGCGAUCUGCUGGAACUCUACUGACGCUGAGGCGCGAAAGCGUGGGGAGCAUACAGGAUUAGAUACCCGCGUAGUC